Molecule: long non-coding RNA, 455 nt
Organism: Rhipicephalus microplus (southern cattle tick)
Lineage: Eukaryota; Metazoa; Arthropoda; Arachnida; Ixodida; Ixodidae
Source: RefSeq, a predicted model, not a curated record
AGGGUUUAGAACUUUGUAAGAUACAAAAUUUCCGGAACGAUUAUUGUGCCGCGGCUAUAAUGGCUCCCUACAUUGUUCACCCAUGGUUAAUCAUUUCAAUUGCCGCAGUCGUGCCUCUUCGCGUCUCAGCUGAACAACCGAAAACAAGUGCUCCACAGAAGAGGACAGGCCCAUGGAAGUUCAUGAAUACUGGUGUCAUUUACCUAAACUUGACUACGAUGAACACAUCUGGAAUAUUGUGCAAAGCAGCAAUGAGAACAGAGUUGAAUGCUACUGCCAGAACCUUUUCUCAGGACAUAGGAAUCAGAUACCAUGAUGCCUGAGCUAUACACUAACUAGUCCAACAGCAUACGUUACUGGCCUUCCUGUUCUUCCCUACAAAAGCCCCCGGGAGUGAACAGCAGCCAUCGAGGCGACUAAGGCCUGGGUAGAAAUAAAGGCUGAUAAUGAACCUU